AUCCUUACCUGGCAGGAGAGAUACCAUGAUCACGAAGGUGGUUUUCCCAGGGCGAGGCUUAUCCAUUGCACUCCGGAUGUGCUGACCCCUGAAAUUUCCCCAAAUGUGGGAAACUCCUGCAUAAUUUGUGGUAGUGGGGGACUAUGUUCCUGCUCUCCCC
This 160-nucleotide small nuclear RNA is filed under the name Echinops telfairi (small Madagascar hedgehog). RNAcentral's name for it is "U1 spliceosomal RNA (ENSETEG00000022327.1)". It matches the Rfam family "U1 spliceosomal RNA". From Rfam's summary of the family: U1 is a small nuclear RNA (snRNA) component of the spliceosome (involved in pre-mRNA splicing). Its 5' end forms complementary base pairs with the 5' splice junction, thus defining the 5' donor site of an intron. Lineage: Eukaryota; Metazoa; Chordata; Mammalia; Afrosoricida; Tenrecidae. The record is from RNAcentral.